Long non-coding RNA from Thunnus maccoyii (southern bluefin tuna), 2865 nucleotides. RefSeq lists it as uncharacterized. The transcript is spliced from 5 exons. The record is from RefSeq and is a predicted model, not a curated record. Lineage: Eukaryota; Metazoa; Chordata; Actinopteri; Scombriformes; Scombridae.
UCUCUCUCUCUCUCCACCCUGAAAAAUGCAGCAGAGCUGAGCAGUGUUGGCCUACAGACCACUGACAUGACUGUCAAUCCUCAUCACGUGACAAGGUUUUUUUUUUUUUGUUUCUUCAGUUUGAGCUUUGGUCACAUUAUAAUUGAUAGAGAUACUGUAGGUCUGCAGGUAGUUUCCCUAGCGUCAGUGGAGAACUGUUAAGGCUAAUUCAUGGUAGGUCGCUCGACACUUUUGAUAAAUGUCGCUUUGUCAAGAUGCAUAGAUUCCCGUGUUUAUGCUCACAUCAUCAGGCAACUCAAAAUGGUUGUGAAAUUGCAGAGUUGGUUGUCUACACGGUUUGAAAUGUUGAAUUGUCAAUAUCUUGAAAGACAGACUUCAGCUGACAGGAGGUUUGUUUUCCUUUUCAAUCACUUAAGUAAUAUUAAGUGCCAAGUUGGCGAUAUCUGAACUUUUAGGAAGAUUCCCAGUUGUAAUUAUGACUUUGAAUGUUGACAUAAAUGGUAUAGUUACAGCUUGGAAACUGGUAAUUCCAGUAUAAUACAAUCCAUACCCAAUCGCAUUGUACCGCUGAGAGGAAGUGUUCUUUUAAAGAAAGAGUAGGAUGAUUCCCGCUAUGUAGGCAACUCAUCACCCACAAAUGAUGCUACUUUCCUCUAAGUCAGAGUCAAAAAUAUGCAGCCAGGUCUCCAAGAAAUUACAUUUAUCUGCUACACAUUUUGUUGCAUAUACAUUUAGGAUAGAAUAUAUUAUCACCUGGAUUAUGCUUUUUAUCAACAACAGAGUAAUAAUUGUUCAUCAUCAUAUCUGGCAAGUUGCAAAAUGUUGAUAGUGAAACUUUAUGAUUAUGUUUAGGCACUAACAGCAUCUGUUUAAGGUUAGUGGGUUUUAAUUAGGAAUGUAAUGGUAAGUGUGUUCGUCCCAAACUGUUUGGUACAGGAUGUUCACUUAGGUACAUAGCUUUCCUCUGUUCAGUACACUCCGUGACCCAAACAAUUGCUGUCAAAAUAGUUUAAAAAUCCACUUACUCCAACGUGUGGAACAAUAACUGUAGAGCGCAAGUUCCACCUGGAACAUUUUAGCAGCGCACCACUUAGCUGUAGCAUGCUCAUAGAUGCUAGCCGGCUUAGCCAAGGUACCCUGGUUACUCUGGUUACCCUGUAGUGUCACUACCAUCAUAUUGACAAACGAGAGACCCAUAACACUGACCGAGUGCCACACUAUUUUUAAAAUAUGCUCUCCAUUAUCUCCAUAGUGAAAUGAUACUGCGUCUCCCUGUCCCCCUCCCCUCUCUGUGACAGUAGGCUUUUCACUCCACCUUUGAGUGAAGCCGUUCAGAACAACUAUGGUGGUUUACAUUGAAACAUGUACGGCAAAUAGUGAUCUCUUGAGCUUGGGCACAAACCGGUGUGUCUCCAGAUCACUGGAAUAUACUGUUCAGCCUACCUGAAGUGCCAUGGACCUACCCCAAUGAAACAACAGUGAAGGAAGUUUCGCACUUGAUUACCAUGAGUCACUCUGAAAGCUACAAGCAGGCCUCAUCUCCAAGCCCAUUAAGAUGCAGAGAAUCAAGGAACAGGAUCUCCCCAUGUGCUACCAAUAACACCUACAAUGGAUCAUUUGAAGAACCUACCAACCAAAAUAAAAUCUGUUAUAUUCUUCAUCCUCACCGUCAAACUUCAAACUGGUCGCCCAUGGGACAGGCAUUCAGAACCUCAGGAAGGAGGUGAGGGGUGGGGUGUUCUUCAUGGAGCUCUACCCAUUAAAAGUUCACAGCUAAAAACAAUGUGACAUUGCUCAAGAUGAAAAGGAAACAAACUGCUGGAUCCAGCAGUAGUGUUUGUGUUAUGACCAUGAAGGUUAAAAACCACACCUGCUUGGCAGUAUUUAUGCUGUACACCAUGGCUUGCAGGUGAACAUCCCAGUCAUUGUGGUGCUCAUUGACGUACCAUCGGAGAGCACGUUUUUAUUAGUACAUUUGUCCUGUACAUUUACAAUGUGUAAUUGCAGAUUUUUGUACAUAUUAUACACAUGUACUAUGUAAUGUCUUUGUAACAUCCAUGAAAAAAACAUGCGUCCACGUUUACCUGGCCAUUGGUUCCGGGAUGUUAUAUUUAACAGUGCAAAAAUCUCUAUGUUGAGCUGUCAAUAUGUAUACAAGAGCAAUACAACAAUGUGUAUUAGUACCAACUGAAUAAAAAAAUAAUACAUGCAUGACCUGCAGCUAUGAAAAUGAUCAUAGUUUAUCCCAUACUGUAUUUCUCAUACCUCAUUCACAAACUCCCUCCCUGACUUUGCUGACAAUGCCAACCAUAUCAAACUUUGCAGUAAUUGCUGCUGAAACCUCCAUAGCUGACUUUGACUGUAGAGGUUCAGCAAAAACAAACUUGCUGAACAAAUCAGUCAUUGUCAGUAUAUACUGUUUUUUUCUUGCUGUCUCUUUUAGUGGCCCAAUUAGGUCCAUCCCAACCACACUCCAAUUUUCUUUCACCUGUGAAUAUACAUGUCAAUAGUUAAUCACCUGUGUACAUCAGUGUACUAACUCGUAGCUCUAUUAAAACCUAUAAAUUAUACACUCACAAUGACACGUUUAAAACAACAUUGUGUACUUUCAGUGGACAUUGGUGAUCAACACUACCUUAAUGGAAUGUAGCACCGGUGCCACUGUUUAUAGGAUAAUUAAACUGGCAUGGGUGACAGCACUUGAGCAGAAACAGAAGUCAAUGUACGUUAAAAGAUAGUUUAUGUGACAGAUGGCCUAACAUACUAGUUUAAUUUUCUCAGAAUAAAUGUAGAGUUGGAAGUUCUGUGGUCCAGAUGUCAACCCUAGCCUUACCCAAUCAGUCACAUCCUCCAUGGUGGUGUGCC